RNAcentral lists this long non-coding RNA (2477 nucleotides) under Capsicum annuum. RNAcentral's name for it is "long non-coding RNA (CANN_LNC022172)". Lineage: Eukaryota; Viridiplantae; Streptophyta; Magnoliopsida; Solanales; Solanaceae. The record is from RNAcentral.
GUGUGUAAUGAAUGUCGUCACAAAACUUUCUGCAACUUUCAUCUUCUGUUUAAGGUUGACGGCAUCCUUGACAGCCUAUCACCAGGCUGACGACGUGUCAUGGAUGUCGUCAGCCACACUUUGUUCUUUAUUUUCUUUUGAUUUCAUGUUUUUUGCUUCCUUUAUUUGUGGUUCCCCUUCUACUCUACUUAUACUGCAAAAUCAAAGUAAACUAAUCAAAAAACGACUAAAGUUACUCAAGACUUUGCAAUUAUUUAGAAAGCUGUAAAUGUGUUAGCAUGGGCUCACACAUCAACCUACACUGGGGUCCACUAACAAGGCUGUUCGGGGGAGUAUAUGGUCGAUAGUGGCUGUGAGAGCUUUCCACCCACUCCAUACACCUGACAGCUCCCCUUCCUAAAAUAAGGGUGACUCAAUUAGAGGUCAUGUACACACGUGCACUACGAAUUUGUUGCGAAAAAAAUGACUCGGGUUAUGCACAUAAUGCCAGAUAUAAAGUGGUAACACAUAAUAAAAACUAUAAACAUGCAACACAUAGGUAAUCAACAAUGAUAAAAUAAAUACAAACGAUAACACAAACAAUGUUUAUACACACAUAAUUUCAAACUAUGCCGAUACAACUCCAAAAGUAAGCUCGGAUUCUGAAAAUUUCUCCAGCAGAGUCGUCAAUGCUGUCACCCCCUUUUUUAACCAAAAAGAUGGAUUUUAAUGUUUGAAAAGGUUUUAUUAUCUAAGUGACAAAAGAUUUAAAAUUUAUUUCAAAAAAAAGAUUAUUUACAUUUUUUAUUCAGAGUCGCCACUUGACAUAAGCCGGUGUGCCAAGUCACCUUUGAAAAAUUCUUUUCAAAACUUUGACUCUUUAAAACUGGUUUGCUAACAGAGAUUCCAAGUAAUGAAUUCUGUUGAUCGAGGCGAAGGUGUUAGGCACCCCUCGAUCCCGUGGUUCGGCCACGGUCUCUUGGUGAAUUAUAUCGGCUCGUAAGACACUAUGAAUAUAUAAACCCAUAAAAACACAUAAAAGAAUCAAACAAACACAUCAAACACAAUCCAAAACCACAAUAAUAACGUUCAGUCCAAUUAUACAGUCCAAAAUAGUCCUAUUCUAAACUAGUCCUAAACUAAGCUCCACCCGACGCCUCGGGCCUUCGUCACGAACAUCUUUCAGGUACAAAAUACUUCGGGGCAUUCUCCGACCAGAUGAUACAUUUGAUCAAGCACGAUAAACUAGAAAACAUUCAACACACAUUCCACAUUCAAACAUUCAACAAAACACUUAUUCCUAAAUUUUUCCUACCCGAACCUAUACUUGUCUAUUCAUUUCAACAUGUCAUAAUUCUAUCACGUUCCAACGACAAUCAUGCUUAUUCCGAAUUAAACAAAACAACAAUAAAUCAAAAUUGAUCUAUGUUCACCCUUUUUAUCAAUUUCACAAUUCUACCCCAUCUAACUUCAUUUUUUAUCAAUCACACUAUCAAAACUACUCAAAUUCGUUUCACAUAUCACCAAAAUCACAUCAUCAAGCACAUAAUCAUAACAUUAACAAAAUCCAACAAUCAUAAUCACCCCACACAUAAUCACAACAUCGAUGCCAAAUUAAAAGAAAUAAGGAGUAAGAGUUAUAGAGAUGGACCUUCCGAAUGCUCUCAAUUGAUUAAGAAGAGAAUAAAAGCGGUCCUGAAACCUAGAAGAAUACCACAAUCUCAAUCCCGAACCAGUAAUUGGACUGGUUUAAAACUGUGAUGAAAUUGAAUUUUGAUUCAAACCAAGGAAACCUUGAAGAGUCAAUGAAUACCCGAAACCAAAACUCAAAAAAAAAAUGAGAAUCCGUAUGACAAUUUCGACGAGACUUUAAUGGAGUCGGAGUAAACUGUCGACUUUUCUGACUUGUCGACUGGACUGAUGUUUUCAGGCUGGAUUUCACCAGAGAAACCAAAAAAAAUGAGAAAAGUGUCUGGGGAUUUCAAUAUUGGGACAAAUUUAAGCUCGGGAUACUUGAACUUGACUAGAAAAUACCGUUUCCGGCGACCCCUGGUGUUUUUUGGUCAGAUUCCGGUGCUAAUUUUGGUGGGAUUGCGCCGAUUUCGUUGUUUAUUUGCCAAAUCUCUCAAAAUCCUUUCAUUCUUUCGAUUCUCUCCCUCUCUCUGCUUUGCUCUCUCUCUUCGUUACUCUCUCUUUCUCUCCGUUACUCUCUUUGUGUGUGUGAGUAUAUGUGUAUGUCUUUAUUCACUGGUUGUGUUGUGUGUGUGUAAUGUAUUGUAGUAUGUGUUAGUGGGUGUGUAUUGAAUAAAUGGAGGAGUGUGUAGGUGUCCAUUAAUGGUGGAGAGAUAGUUUGUGAGUAUAUUCUUGAAAGUGUUUUCUUUUUUGAGAAAGAAGAUGAUGAGUGUUUUCAAUGAAAAUUUCCUCUUCUUUUUGGCCCUCUGUGUCUAUGUGUAUAUCCUCUCCUUUCUUUGUGAAAAGAAACGUGGGGGUGGGGGGGG